This is a non-coding RNA of Peromyscus maniculatus bairdii (prairie deer mouse), 2327 nucleotides long. NCBI's taxonomy places the organism in Eukaryota, Metazoa, Chordata, Mammalia, Rodentia, Cricetidae. The record is from RefSeq and is a predicted model, not a curated record.
AGUUGGCUGUCCAGUACACAGCAACACCUUCUGCUAAAGAAAUGUGAAAAGAAAAGCGGAGACGUGCUAUUUGGAAACAAUCCUCCUGUUCAACACCCAGGAGCUUUCCGGUGACCUAUUUCAGCCUUGCUUCUCUUUUUCUGAUGGUUCAUGUCAGCAUGAUGAGGAAGAAGAAGUCAUCAGUGGAUGAGCAAGGUUCUCUCUGGCUCCCACAGUCUCCUGAUCUGGGGCAUCUUAAGAAUAUAUUGGAUGCAGGAGAGUAUGGCUCUUUUGUAUCUCCUCCCAUACUGGAGAGCAAUUUUAUUCAGGUCAAUAGGAGAGGUGAAUCUAUUUAUCUGCAUAAUGGAGCGAACUGGGUGACCGUAGGCAUCUGUUCUUCCAAUCCCAUCCUCAAGACCCCCAAUGUGAUGCUGUUGGCACAUCUGACACCAGAGGCUCGAAAAGAAUCAGAACCCCUCUUUAAAAGCCUCCUGACAUCUCCCUCUACAGAGAAGGUGGUGCUCACCAGGUUUCUCCCUCUGCAGUUUGUGACUCUUUCUGUGCACAGUGCUAAGAACAUGCGACUCAAAGUAAAGCUGAUAAGUGGCCGAGCCUACUAUUUACAGCUCUGUGCUCCUGUGUAUAAACAGGAUAUUAUAUUUUCUCAGUGGGUGGACCUCAUCACCCUCUUGUAUCAGAAGAAAGCCAGAACUUCCAAAGUAUCAGAGGUCUCAAGCCUCUCAGAGAUCACAAACAGCACAGACAUCACAAGCUCAAUGGACAUCAUGGACAUCGCAGCUUUUGCAGAGCUGCGGGCCGCGCACUCACACACUCGGAUACAUUCUGCUAACACCACCGAAAGCGCAGACUUCUCAGAAUAUACAGAUGUCACCGAUAUCACAGAUGUCACUGAUGUUCCAGAAAAUGGGGCCACAGAUGUUCCAGAUAUAAGAAUUGUCACAGAAGUCACAGAAGUCACAGAAGACGUCAAAGAACCCAAAGAGGCCACAAACAUCUCAGAGGUCACAAUAGUAUUUGAAAACGAUGACAUAAUAAAGGCCAAGCAAGAGGAAAAGGAAAAUGUCCUGAAGCAUGGGUGUCUACGAGACACGAAAAGUAAGAACCAGCUCAGAGAAUCCCCCAAACAUGUCACCAUCUCAAACUUAACACUCACUUUCCAAGGCGAGAAAUGUUUUCAGACUACUUUGACUCCUGUAAAAAGUGAGGAAAAUAUAUCCAAAGAAAAGUGUGAUAAAACCUUGGAAGGAAAGAUGACUGAUCUUCCAAAAACAGAUCUCAAGGCUAAAGAAUCCAGGAGUACAAGGAAUGAUUCAAACACUUCAGGCUUGCACAGCUUUUCAGUCUUCCCCCUGAUUAGCGUCUCUUUCCCCCUUUUCACGCUCCUCUGACUAGCGUUUCCCUCCCACACAUUCUUACCACUUGGUAAUACUCUUCACCUCAGGAAAGCAAAGACUACCACACUCUAAAGCUCCACGCUAUUAAAUUCAGGCUGCACGAAGAUUAAAAGUGUGUCUGUAAUCCUAAUUUCUAGGUAAGGCCAGAAAUAAUAAUGCUGCCCAAAGAAGGAAAAUAAAUCGUAGUGCAAAGUUGUCUGAUUCUCCCGCUCCCAGCUCCCAGGAAGUGCUGGUUGAGGACAGAGACAUCCGAUUCAUCCCCCAUACACCUCUGCAGUGGAAGGGGGUUACUUUCUCUUCUUUCUGCACAAUGUUUUAUGGAAAGUGGCACUUUCAAAUGCACUGUUUCUAUAAGCAAGGCCGGGGGAUGACAGGGCAGAUCUCAAGCUAGACCUGUUGCUCCGACCUGAGUCCAUGUCUCUCCUUUCUUGACUUUUCAUUUCUUACCUUUCAAAGCUUCAUUCUCCCCAGCCUUUUCUGAUUUCUUUGUAGAGAGCCCAGACUUUUCUAUGAUGCCACAGUAAUUUUCCUAGAUGGAAAAAAAAAUGAGACCAAAGAUAAAGGUUUGAGAAAUGAGAGGGAAAUCAUAUAUGAAAUACUCAGUUUCCUUCCCACCCGCCUGCUUCUUUUUUCAUCAUCCUGUUCAAUAUUACAAAUCAAACUCUAAAAGUGGCCACGUUCAUCCCCUGCUUGUGAAACUGGAACUAAAAGGACAAGGGAGGAAGGCCCCGAAGGGACCAGGGGGAAUGUACAGAAGACACGUAAAACAGAAAAAGUCACAGUCGCUGGAGAAGCCUAUCGGAUGACCUAAAGAUCAGUACAAACUACUAAACUAAAAACAAAGCCCAACUCAGGAAAAGGCGAUCUCUUCAAGAGGGAAACAGCAGUAUCUUUUAUGUGGCAGAAAUAAAGAGUACUACUAACCACUCAGAA